RNAcentral lists this ribosomal RNA (649 nucleotides) under Ornithinimicrobium kibberense. Its description in RNAcentral is "bacterial SSU rRNA". It matches the Rfam family "Bacterial small subunit ribosomal RNA", at positions 232 to 885 of the family's 1533-position model. Lineage: Bacteria; Bacillati; Actinomycetota; Actinomycetes; Micrococcales; Ornithinimicrobiaceae. The record is from RNAcentral.
CGCGGCCUAUCAGCUUGUUGGUGGGGUAAUGGCCUACCAAGGCGACGACGGGUAGCCGGCCUGAGAGGGUGACCAGCCACACUGGGACUGAGACACGGCCCAGACUCCUACGGGAGGCAGCAGUGGGGAAUAUUGCACAAUGGGCGCAAGCCUGAUGCAGCGACGCCGCGUGAGGGAUGACGGCCUUCGGGUUGUAAACCUCUUUCAGCUCUGACGAAGCCCGCUUGCGGGUGACGGUAGGAGCAGAAGAAGCACCGGCUAACUACGUGCCAGCAGCCGCGGUAAUACGUAGGGUGCGAGCGUUGUCCGGAAUUAUUGGGCGUAAAGAGCUUGUAGGCGGCUUGUCGCGUCUGCUGUGAAAGCCCGGGGCUUAACCCCGGGUCUGCAGUGGGUACGGGCAGGCUAGAGUGUGGUAGGGGAGACUGGAAUUCCUGGUGUAGCGGUGGAAUGCGCAGAUAUCAGGAGGAACACCGAUGGCGAAGGCAGGUCUCUGGGCCAUUACUGACGCUGAGAAGCGAAAGCGUGGGGAGCGAACAGGAUUAGAUACCCUGGUAGUCCACGCCGUAAACGUUGGGCGCUAGGUGUGGGUCCCAUUCCACGGGGUCCGUGCCGCAGCUAACGCAUUAAGCGCCCCGCCUGGGGAGUACGG